AUGAACGCUGGCGGCGUGCCUAAUACAUGCAAGUCGAGCGAACGGACGAGAAGCUUGCUUUUCUGAUGUUAGCGGCGGACGGGUGAGUAACACGUGGAUAACCUACCUAUAAGACUGGGAUAACUUCGGGAAACCGGAGCUAAUACCGGAUAAUAUUUUGAACCGCAUGGUUCAAAAGUGAAGGACGGUCUUGCUGUCACUUAUAGAUGGAUCCGCGCUGCAUUAGCUAGUUGGUAAGGUAACGGCUUACCAAGGCAACGAUGCAUAGCCGACCUGAGAGGGUGAUCGGCCACACUGGAACUGAGACACGGUCCAGACUCCUACGGGAGGCAGCAGUAGGGAAUCUUCCGCAAUGGGCGAAAGCCUGACGGAGCAACGCCGCGUGAGUGAUGAAGGUCUUCGGAUCGUAAAACUCUGUUAUUAGGGAAGAACAUAUGUGUAAGUAACUGUGCACAUCUUGACGGUACCUAAUCAGAAAGCCACGGCUAACUACGUG
Molecule: ribosomal RNA, 496 nt
Filed under: uncultured bacterium
Lineage: Bacteria
Description: partial 16S ribosomal RNA
Rfam family: Bacterial small subunit ribosomal RNA
Source: RNAcentral